RNAcentral lists this ribosomal RNA (1297 nucleotides) under Triticum aestivum (bread wheat). Its description in RNAcentral is "partial small subunit ribosomal RNA". The record is from RNAcentral. Lineage: Eukaryota; Viridiplantae; Streptophyta; Magnoliopsida; Poales; Poaceae.
GUGCGAGGCUUCCGGCUUCGCCGGGGCUUGCCGGUUUGGGGACCAGCGUCAGGUCUUUACCGGCGGCGGCGCUUCGAGAGGCAGAGGUCGGUCCGGAAGCGCCGCGAGGAGCUGACGACGCCCUGGCGGCGGCCCCUGACGCUGCCCGAUGAGAAGCCGGCACGGCGGGCGGGGGGCCGGGGAGGGGGAAGGGAGAGGCUGCUGCUGCUGAGGCCGCGGUGGAGGAGGCGGGGUUGGGAUAGGUAGUUGCAGUGGCCGGUGCGGAGCGAGCGGGCUGGGAGGAGGGAGAGGCUGCGGGAGCCGGCGAAGGUCGGGAUGAGGGGGCGGGCGGGUCGGUGGCACCCGAAGAAGAGGAGGGCNNNNNNNNNNNNNNNNNNNNNNNNNNNNNNNNUCCAGCGGCAGCGGGCGAGGGACAGAUUUAGUAACCGGGAGUGGGUGGGGGAGCACAAAGACGAGCAUCGGGGGAGGCGGAGGAGGUUGGAGAGGUAGGUGAGCAAGCUGAUGGCGCGGAAGGAGGAACACCUAAGGGCGGAGAAGGGGUGGAGGGAGGUCCAGCAGUUGCACCCAGGACCAAAGGCCCCGGUCAUGGUGUGGAAGCGCCGCCUCAGCGGUUACGGCACCGACGGCGCAGGCGGCCGUUUCCCGAAGUCGUAGUCUCUGGUCUUCCGCUACCUACCCUACUAACUACGCAAGCCCGACCCUUCCCACCUCCGGAACCACCGGAGCCGGUGCCCCGUUAGUUGGCUCCACCUCCUCUACAUAAGGCCCUACGAUUCCUCCGACCUCUCCGAACGAGCCCUCCGCCUCCCCCCUUCCUUCGACCACGCGGCAGUCCUUUUGUUCUUGAAUAACCGUUUCUAUUUUUAACGGCCCAACUUCAUUCCCGUCUCUAGAACAAGAGUCGUUCGCACAUCUCCGAGACAUUCUCACCAGCGUUCUAAACUUCGGCCCUAGGAACUUGACAUGGAACUCAACUUCACGGACGGAUAAAGGAGGAGAAAAACCGACCUACUAAAGACCUGAAGGUCAUAGCGUAUAAACAAGAAAACUUGUCUUCUAAGUCCCCCAAGUUUCCUACGCCUUUGGUCCUAUCAUUUACACUUGGGUCAAGAAAAAAGGAACGCACGUUUCUACACCGUAGUAAAGCGGUGACGGGGAAGUUUUCGACUUACGUCAUCACAAGGUACAAUACACCAAUUCGUCUAAGUUCAGGUUAAACCUAAACGGUAAGAUCAUCAUACGAAAAUAAACGUCACCUCGACACUGAACCACCAUGGGCUUAGUCGCAAGUAGCUGG